Molecule: long non-coding RNA, 908 nt
Filed under: Equus caballus (horse)
Lineage: Eukaryota; Metazoa; Chordata; Mammalia; Perissodactyla; Equidae
Description: lncRNA (ENSECAG00000028510.2)
Source: RNAcentral
CUGGGGUUCAGUUUCAACGGGGCAGGCAAGGACUAGGGAGUGGAAAGUUUAGACAGAGGUGGAAAGAAUCAACCAGCUCUCCAUGGCCAAUGCAAGCAACAGCAAGAACCCGGCGCCAAGACAAUGGCCCAGGCACUGGGGAGCGGGAGAGUGGGUGAUCCGAAGGUCGUCUUCUCCUCUGGCCAUGCUUUCUGAAUGACUCUGGUAUACUCAUCACUUCUGUGGCCUCUCAGUCCACUUGGGUAUAGCUUCUGCUCUCCUCCACGUCAUGAAGUCUCUCCCCAAGGACCCCAACGAGCUCCAAGACACUAAAUCAACCAGACACUUGUUCUUCAAUAGCCUUUUAUGCGGUGAAGACUCUUCAACUCUCGUGCGACUCUCUGUCCAACUUCGUACUAGACAGCUCCGUUCGGCUACUUUGCUAUAACAAAGAGAAUGCAAAAUACAGUGGCUCAAGGAAGACAGAAAUUUAUGCUCUUUCACACCACCGUGCAGAGUCUGGGGAGGUCUGUUCCACAAAGGUGUCCAGAGACUUUGGUUUUUCUACCUUGCUGCUUCACCAUCUAGGGUACUGUCCUCUUCCACAGAGUGGCAUAUGUCUCAACAGCACUGUGUUCCAGCAUGCAUGAAAGGGAAGAGGAAGCUGAAGGCGACCAGGCCCCUUUUACAAAAGUGACGCAGCACAUGGCACUUACACACCCAACCUGGGUGGCCAUACCUAGUUGCAAGCUAAGCUAGGGAGAGUGGCCUUGCAGUCAGUUAAAGCUGAGGCAUUUUGUUGCAAAAGUGAAAAAUAGAAGGCCCUGGGCUUUUUCAAUCCUUGCUAGAAGGAUAAGAAAUUAAGAAAAUCUGUAUAAGUGACCUGAGGCACAAAGACAAAGUUUAUCCAACUGACUAGUCAGAUCAUG